GACGAACGCUGGCGGCGUGCUUAACACAUGCAAGUCGAACGGAAAGGCCCUGCUUUUGUGGGGUGCUCGAGUGGCGAACGGGUGAGUAACACGUGAGUAACCUGCCCUUGACUUUGGGAUAACUUCAGGAAACUGGGGCUAAUACCGGAUAGGAGCUCCUGCUGCAUGGUGGGGGUUGGAAAGUGUCGGCGGUUGGGGCUGUACUCGCGGGUUAUCAGCUUGUUGGUGUGGUAGUUGCUUACCAAGGUUGUGACGGAUAGGCGGCCUGGGAGGGUUACCGGGGUCAAGGGGCCUGAGAUACGCAGCAGUAGCGAACGGGCGGCAACGGGGGGAAGCAUGACACAGCAAGCGCACGUCAGAUACGGCGGCCUCGGGUGCGGAAAAACCGCCUUCGGGUUAUAAACAGCUGUGGCAGGUGACGAAGCGUGAGUGACGGUAAUGAGUAAAGAAGCAACGGCUAACUACGUG
RNAcentral lists this ribosomal RNA (468 nucleotides) under uncultured bacterium. Its description in RNAcentral is "partial 16S ribosomal RNA". It matches the Rfam family "Bacterial small subunit ribosomal RNA", at positions 28 to 507 of the family's 1533-position model. The record is from RNAcentral.